This 76-nucleotide transfer RNA is filed under the name Candidatus Thalassarchaeaceae archaeon. RNAcentral describes it as "tRNA-Thr". It matches the Rfam family "tRNA". From Rfam's summary of the family: Transfer RNA (tRNA) molecules are approximately 80 nucleotides in length. RNAcentral also lists the same sequence under 1 other name. The record is from RNAcentral. Lineage: Archaea; Methanobacteriati; Thermoplasmatota; Candidatus Poseidoniia; Candidatus Poseidoniales; Candidatus Thalassarchaeaceae.
GCCAUUGUAGCUUAGCUGGUAGAGCACUUGAUUCGUAAUCAAGAGGCCGUGAGUUCGAAUCUCACCAAUGGCUCCA